This 465-nucleotide ribosomal RNA is filed under the name uncultured bacterium. Its description in RNAcentral is "partial 16S ribosomal RNA". It matches the Rfam family "Bacterial small subunit ribosomal RNA", at positions 28 to 507 of the family's 1533-position model. The record is from RNAcentral.
GACGAACGCUGGCGGCGUGCUUAACACAUGCAAGUCGAACGGAAAGGCCCCUUUGGGGGUACUCGAGUGGCGAACGGGUGAGUAACACGUGAGUAACCUGCCCUUGACUUCGGGAUAACUUCAGGAAACUGGGGCUAAUACCGGAUAGGAAUCCUUGCUGCAUGGUGGGGGUUGGAAAGCUUCGGCGGUUUUGGAUGGACUCGCGGCUUAUCAGCUUGUUGGUGGGGUAGUGGCUUACCAAGGCUUUGACGGGUAGCCGGCCUGAGAGGGCGACCGGCCACAGUGGGACUGAGAUACGGCCCAGACUCCGACGGGAGGCAGCAGGGGGGAAUAUUGCACAAUGGGCGGAAGCCUGAUGCAGCAACGCCGCGUGCGGGAUGACGGCCUUCGGGUUGUAAACCGCUUUCAGCAGGGGCGAAGCUUGUGGUGACGGUACCUGCAGAAGAAGCACCGGCUAACUACGUG